UGGGGAAUUUUGGACAAUGGGCGAAAGCCUGAUCCAGCAAUGCCGCGUGUGUGAAGAAGGCCUUCGGGUUGUAAAGCACUUUUGUCCGGAAAGAAAUGGCUCUGGUUAAUACCUGGGGUCGAUGACGGUACCGGAAGAAUAAGGACCGGCUAACUACGUGCCAGCAGCCGCGGUAAUACGUAGGGUCCAAGCGUUAAUCGGAAUUACUGGGCGUAAAGCGUGCGCAGUCGGUUGUGCAAGACCGAUGUGAAAUCCCCGAGCUUAACUUGGGAAUUGCAUUGGUGACUGCACGGCUAGAGUGUGUCAGAGGGGGGUAGAAUUCCACGUGUAGCAGUGAAAUGCGUAGAGAUGUGGAGGAAUACCGAUGGCGAAGGCAGCCCCCUGGGAUAACACUGACGCUCAUGCACGAAAGCGUGGGGAGCAAACAGG
Molecule: ribosomal RNA, 429 nt
Filed under: bacterium
Lineage: Bacteria
Description: partial 16S ribosomal RNA
Rfam family: Bacterial small subunit ribosomal RNA
Source: RNAcentral